This 406-nucleotide ribosomal RNA is filed under the name uncultured bacterium. RNAcentral describes it as "partial 16S ribosomal RNA". It matches the Rfam family "Bacterial small subunit ribosomal RNA", at positions 30 to 526 of the family's 1533-position model. The record is from RNAcentral.
AUUGAACGCUGGCGGCAGGCUUAACACAUGCAAGUCGAGCGAGCGGCGGACGGGUGAGUAAUGUUUGGGGAACUGCCUGAUAGAGGGGGAUAACUCCUGGAAACGGUAGCUAAUACCGCAUACCAUCAGAUGCCCCCAGAUGGGAUUGGCUAGUAGGUGGGGUAAGGGCUCACCUAGGCGACGAUCCCUAGCUGGUCUGAGAGGCUGACCAGCCAGCCUGGAACUGAGACACGGUCCAGACUCCUACGGACGGCAGCAGUGAGGAAUAUUGCACAAUAGGCGCAAGCCUGAUGCAGCCAUGCCGCGUGUAUGAAGAAGACCGUCGGGUUAUCAAGCACUUUAAGAGAGGAGGCGUUACUCGCAGAAGAAGCACCGGCUAACACCGUGCCAGCAGCCGCGGUAAUAC